AGAUUUUGUCAACAGUAAAACAGUUAAUAAUAUAUUUUUGUUACUUAAAUACUAUAUAUACAAAUGUAGAUGUAAGAGCAUAUUGCCCACAAAAUAUGGUGGUAUAGAAUAUUUAAAGUAGUGGAUUAAAAUAGAAAAAUACUCUGUAUGCUUUUUAACCCCUACACAAAAAAUAAAAAUGGAUCAGAAGUGGCAAUUGUUAGAAGCAGCA
Molecule: long non-coding RNA, 211 nt
Filed under: Mytilus galloprovincialis (Mediterranean mussel)
Lineage: Eukaryota; Metazoa; Mollusca; Bivalvia; Mytilida; Mytilidae
Source: RNAcentral